GAUGAACGCUGGCGGCGUGCUUAACACAUGCAAGUCGAGCGAAGCACUUAAGUUUGAUUCUUCGGAUGAAGACUUUUGUGACUGAGCGGCGGACGGGUGAGUAACGCGUGGGUAACCUGCCUCAUACAGGGGGAUAACAGUUAGAAAUGACUGCUAAUACCGCAUAAGACCACGGUACCGCAUGGUACAGUGGUAAAAACUCCGGUGGUAUGAGAUGGACCCGCGUCUGAUUAGGUAGUUGGUGGGGUAAUGGCCUACCAAGCCGACGAUCAGUAGCCGACCUGAGAGGGUGACCGGCCACAUUGGGACUGAGACACGGCCCAGACUCCUACGGGAGGCAGCAGUGGGGGAUAUUGCACAAUGGAGGAAACUUUGAUGCAGCGACGCCGCGUGAAGGAUGAAGUAUUUCGGUAUGUAAACUUCUAUCAGCAGGGAAGAAA
Molecule: ribosomal RNA, 440 nt
Filed under: uncultured bacterium
Lineage: Bacteria
Description: bacterial SSU rRNA
Rfam family: Bacterial small subunit ribosomal RNA
Source: RNAcentral